UCAAUUGUCGUAUGUGAUGAAAGAUGAUACCAGAAUUUUUGGCACUGCCAUUCCUUUUCCUGGUAUAUAUAUUUUUCUGGUCUAUAUAUAUUUUUACCGUGAAUUUGACCUGAAGCUAGAAGGGAAAGAUGGCCUGAAGGAUGGGAUCGCUUCACUCCUUUCGAGUCAGGUCUCCAGGAAUCCACAUCUCAUGACUUCCAACCCAGGUCUCCCCCAACCCCCCAUAAUCAUCUGCUUCACAAGGAUAUGAAUAUCUUCUGACACAAUUUAAAAACGGAGUGUCUAUGCACAACCUAGCUAUAACUGAUACCCUACUGUGUAACACAUUUCUUUCCAGAUCUUAGAGGACAAAGGUGCGGGGAAAACAAACUCCAUCCGUGCCGGGUUGCCAAGUGCACUGUGCAGACAGGGCGAUGCACAUACUUUGCAGUGUAUCUGAAUAGCAAAGCCUAGACAUCAAACAGAAUGCACUAUGAUUCAAUCACAUCAAAACCAUCAGGACUUGAAAGCUAGGACAUUUUUUUUUUUUUACCUCCUAUUCAUUAUGCUGCCAUAUUUCAUAAAAUAUACGGUGUU
Molecule: long non-coding RNA, 576 nt
Organism: Mustela lutreola (European mink)
Lineage: Eukaryota; Metazoa; Chordata; Mammalia; Carnivora; Mustelidae
Exons: 3
Source: RefSeq, a predicted model, not a curated record